RNAcentral lists this ribosomal RNA (467 nucleotides) under uncultured bacterium. RNAcentral's name for it is "partial 16S ribosomal RNA". It matches the Rfam family "Bacterial small subunit ribosomal RNA", at positions 29 to 507 of the family's 1533-position model. The record is from RNAcentral.
ACGAACGCUGGCGGCGUGCUUAACCCAUGCAAGUCGAACGGAAAGGCCCUGCUUUUGUGGGGUGCUCGAGUGGCGAACGGGUGAGUAACACGUGAGUAACCUGCCCUUGACUUUGGGAUAACUUCCGGAAACUGGGGCUAAUACCGGAUAGGAGCUCCUGCUGCAUGGUGGGGGUUGGAAAGUUUCGGCGGUUGGGGAUGGACUCGCGGCUUAUCAGCUUGUUGGUGGGGUAGUGGCUUACCAAGGCUUUGACGGGUAGCCGGCCUUGGAGGGUGACCGGCCACAUUGGGACUGAGAUACGGCCCAGACUCCUACGGGAGGCAGCAGUGGGGAAUAUUGCACAAUGGGCGGAAGCCUGAUGCAGCAACGCCGCGGGCGGGAUGACGGCCUUCGGGUUGUAAACCGCUUUCGCCUGUGACGAAGCGUGAGUGACGGUAAUGGGUAAAGAAGCACCGGCUAACUACGUG